RNAcentral lists this ribosomal RNA (373 nucleotides) under uncultured organism. Its description in RNAcentral is "bacterial SSU rRNA". It matches the Rfam family "Bacterial small subunit ribosomal RNA", at positions 526 to 896 of the family's 1533-position model. The record is from RNAcentral.
CGGAGGGUGCAAGCGUUGUUCGGAUUUACUGGGCGUAAAGCGCGCGCAGGUGGGUGGACAAGUCGGAAGUGAAAUCCCAGGGCUCAACCCUGGGGCUGCUCCCGAAACUGUUCGUCUAGGGACUGGUAGAGGCUGGUAGAAUUCCCGGUGUAGCGGUGGAAUGCGUAGAGAUCGGGAAGAAUACCUGUGGCGAAGGCGGCCAGCUGGGCCAGAUCCGACACUGAGGCGCGAAAGCGUGGGGAGCAAACAGGAUUAGAUACCCUGGUAGUCCACGCCGUAAACGAUGGGCACUAGGCGCGGGUGGGAGCGACCCCUUCCCGUGCCGCAGCUAACGCGAUAAGUGCCCCGCCUGGGGAGUACGGCCGCAAGGCUG